AUACGGAGGGUGCAAGCGUUGUUCGGAAUUACUGGGCGUAAAGCGCGCGUAGGCGGUCUGUUAUGUCAGAUGUGAAAGUCCUCGGCUCAACCGGGGAAGUGCAUUUGAAACUGGCAGACUUGAGUAUUGGAGGGGGUAGUGGAAUUCCCGGUGUAGAGGUGAAAUGCGUAGAUAUCGGGAGGAAUACCGGUGGCGAAGGCGACUACCUGGCCAAAUACUGACGCUGAGGUGCGAAAGCGUGGGGAGCAAACAGGAUUAGAAACCCUAGUAGUCC
RNAcentral lists this ribosomal RNA (274 nucleotides) under uncultured bacterium. RNAcentral's name for it is "partial 16S ribosomal RNA". It matches the Rfam family "Bacterial small subunit ribosomal RNA", at positions 523 to 796 of the family's 1533-position model. The record is from RNAcentral.